AUUGAACACUGGCGGCAUGCUUUACACAUGCAAGUCGAACGGCAGCGCGGGCUUCGGCCUGGCGGCGAGUGGCGAACGGGUGAGUAAUACAUCGGAACGUGCCCAGUAGUGGGGGAUAGCUCGGCGAAAGCCGGAUUAAUACCGCAUACGACCUGAGGGUGAAAGCGGGGGAUCUUCGGACCUCGCGCUAUUGGAGCGGCCGAUGGCAGAUUAGCUAGUUGGUGGGGUAAAGGCCUACCAAGGCGACGAUCUGUAGCUGGUCUGAGAGGACGACCAGCCACACUGGGACUGAGACACGGCCCAGACUCCUACGGGAGGCAGCAGUGGGGAAUUUUGGACAAUGGGCGAAAGCCUGAUCCAGCAAUGCCGCGUGUGUGAUGAAGGCCUUCGGGUUGCAAAGCACUUUUGGCGGGAACGAAAAGGACUGUGCCAAUACCACGGUUCGAUGACGGUACCCGCAGAAUAAGCACCGGCUAACUACGUG
RNAcentral lists this ribosomal RNA (484 nucleotides) under uncultured bacterium. RNAcentral's name for it is "partial 16S ribosomal RNA". It matches the Rfam family "Bacterial small subunit ribosomal RNA", at positions 29 to 507 of the family's 1533-position model. The record is from RNAcentral.